UGGACUUCAAUAGCCACUCUAAAACCACUGAAGCACUGUUCAGUAUCUUGGUGAACUUUGAAGGGGGGCACAGGAGCCUCUGCAAGGAAUCCAAAGGGACCAGCUGGAUAUGGUGAACCUAUGGAAUUACAUGGAAGAGCAGAGCAUUCAGAUUUUCUCUCACUCUUGGAGGCCGAGUCAUUGCUCUUUGGGGCUUCCCUCACUCUGGGACUGUCUGGAAAUGGCUGAAGCUCUGUGUGUCUGGCAGAUACUUCCUUUGAGCUCAGGAGAAACCAUAUACUGCUGGAGAUGCUUGGCCCAGGCAGCAAGUCUGAGCUGCACAGAUAUGGAAGUGGGUGCCCAGAUAGCCAAGGGAUGGCACUUUGAUGUUCACAACAGGUGCUUAGGAAGUAGCUAAACUGUGAACCUUGGGAUGACUGAAUAACUUUCAGUUUUCAUAGCUGGAGAUAUGACUUAGAAAUGAGCAGAAAGCAAAUGGCAAGUAUUAAGUAUU
This 493-nucleotide long non-coding RNA is filed under the name Zonotrichia albicollis (white-throated sparrow). RNAcentral describes it as "lncRNA (ENSZALG00000014375.1)". Lineage: Eukaryota; Metazoa; Chordata; Aves; Passeriformes; Passerellidae. The record is from RNAcentral.